Molecule: ribosomal RNA, 492 nt
Filed under: uncultured bacterium
Lineage: Bacteria
Description: partial 16S ribosomal RNA
Rfam family: Bacterial small subunit ribosomal RNA
Source: RNAcentral
AGUGAACGCUGGCGGUAGGCCUAACACAUGCAAGUCGAACGGCAGCACAGUGAGAGCUUGCUCUUACGGGUGGCGAGUGGCGGACGGGUGAGGAAUACAUCGGAAUCUACUUUUUCGUGGGGGAUAACGUAGGGAAACUUACGCUAAUACCGCAUACGACCUACGGGUGAAAGCAGGGGAUCUUCGGACCUUGCGCGAUUGAAUGAGCCGAUGUCGGAUUAGCUAGUUGGCGGGGUAAAGGCCCACCAAGGCGACGAUCCGUAGCUGGUCUGAGAGGAUGAUCAGCCACACUGGAACUGAGACACGGUCCAGACUCCUACGGGAGGCAGCAGUGGGGAAUAUUGGACAAUGGGCGCAAGCCUGAUCCAGCCAUACCGCGUGGGUGAAGAAGGCCUUCGGGUUGUAAAGCCCUUUUGUUGGGAAAGAAAAGCAGCAGGUUAAUACCCCGCUGUUCUGACGUUACCCAAAGAAUAAGCACCGGCUAACUUCGUG